RNAcentral lists this ribosomal RNA (254 nucleotides) under uncultured bacterium. Its description in RNAcentral is "partial 16S ribosomal RNA". It matches the Rfam family "Bacterial small subunit ribosomal RNA", at positions 524 to 776 of the family's 1533-position model. The record is from RNAcentral.
UACGGGGGGAGCAAGCGUUGUUCGGAUUUACUGGGCGUAAAGGGCGCGUAGGCGGCCACGACAAGUCACUUGUGAAAUCUCCGGGCUUAACUCGGAACGGUCAAGUGAUACUGUCGGGCUAGAGUGCGGAAGGGGCAACUGGAAUUCUCGGUGUAGCGGUGAAAUGCGUAGAUAUCGAGAGGAACACCUGCGGCGAAGGCGGGUUGCUGGGCCGACACUGACGCUGAGGCGCGAAAGCUAGGGGAGCAAACGGG